Molecule: ribosomal RNA, 254 nt
Filed under: uncultured bacterium
Lineage: Bacteria
Description: partial 16S ribosomal RNA
Rfam family: Bacterial small subunit ribosomal RNA
Source: RNAcentral
UACGAAGGGGGCUAGCGUUGUUCGGAAUUACUGGGCGUAAAGCGCGCGCAGGCGGCCAUUCAAGUCAGGGGUGAAAGCCCAGAGCUCAACUCUGGAACUGCCCUUGAAACUGUAUGGCUUGAGUAUGAGAGAGGUGAGUGGAAUUCCCAGUGUAGAGGUGAAAUUCGUAGAUAUUGGGAAGAACACCGGUGGCGAAGGCGGCUACACUGGCUCAUUACUGACGCUCAGGCGCGACAGCGUGGGGAUCAAACAGG